Molecule: long non-coding RNA, 1686 nt
Organism: Syngnathus typhle (broad-nosed pipefish)
Lineage: Eukaryota; Metazoa; Chordata; Actinopteri; Syngnathiformes; Syngnathidae
Exons: 2
Source: RefSeq, a predicted model, not a curated record
CGACGGCAAAGUUCCGCAUCGUGCACAUUGACGUCAAUUUUUAGCGACCGUUAAAAAGUUACCACAAAAUUAUGCCAACUUUAGCCGACUUCUUGGAAAUAAAUGAACGCUAGCUUGUUUGUAUUUCAACAUUUAAGUCUAAACAACUCAACUAAACAACUUUGGUUUGUUUUUUGUGGACGAGCACGAAGUCAGCAAUCACAGUAAUACUGGACUGGAGGACAUCAGGAACUGAGACCCACUUUCCAAGUGCUUGGACCUUAAGCAUCAAGAUUUGUGUGUGGGAAUAAAAGACACACUACAUUGUUCAGAUGAGGCUGACGGCUUGGGUGGCGGCGGAGACUGAGUGAGCCCAUGUAUGACCAACUUCAUUUUCAGGACAAAAGUACAAAAUGUAUUAUAAAGCAAGAAAAUAAGGAUAAAUAUAAUAGUAAGGUUGAAUGAAUAUAUGAAUAAUUUGAUAUAAUUCUUGGUUCUUUGUUCUUCCACAUAGACAUGCAACAUUUAAUAACAUGUAAGACACACACACACACACAAACUAUGAAAAUGUUUUUGAGCUGUGAAUUUCUAACAAAUGCAGCAGAAAAAUGCCCAGAUAAACAGAUACAAUUUUGAAUGUACUGGGUUUUUUCCAUGCAUAAUGCGCCCCCGUGCAUAAUAUGCACCCUAAAAGUGGCAUGUCGAUGCUGGAAAAAGGCCUGUACCCACGUAUAAUACGCACCCAAAUUUUGACUCCUACUUAAGUCCGUAAACGUAAAAUCAUUUCAGAAAAAAAAGAUCAUCUUUGGGAACAACCGGAUGUUAUUCUGCCGGUCAGUAUCACUGCGCAUGCGCUAGCAAACUCAAUAGCGAAGAAAUGUUUCGGAUUUGUGUAGGGUACAUUGUGACAGCAAACGAGCAGGUGAUCGAGCAAGCGUCUGAUACGAGAGCAUUGUGUUCGUAUGGAGCGUGUUUGAAGUGAACACCAGAGAAGAAAGGAACAAGGCAAAGUGUUGUGUAAUAAAAUAUUACCUGUAAUACGCAUUUAGGUAGAGAACUGAACUCUCGCUCUUUAUAUCGCUGACGUGUCUUGCGCAUCCAUUCUGCGCAUCUGUAAUGGCGGCCUGAUGAUAUCCGGUUUGCGAUGAAGAUUAAAAAACAAACAAUAUUUGACAAUAACACACCAUCAAGGAUUGCACCAUCGCAUCAAACGAUGUGUCGUCAAUUAUGAAUUUUACUGACUAAGUGUGUUGGGCAGGAUGGGUGAAUGCGAUGCGCGAUUGACAACAAACAAGAAGAAAGGUGUGAUUUCAAGUUUUAUUUCGAGGAAGCUUCUCUUCAAAAAUUGUUGUAACCAUGCAUAAUGCGCACCCCAGAUUUUAGGACAAUAAAUUUGUUAAAUUUUGCGCAUUAUGCAUGGAAAAACACGUUAAAUGUUGCACACAGUAUGUGCAUGUUCUUAUUUCUGUACUUUUCUAUUUAUUUGUUGUAUUUUAAUUGUUUUGUGUGACACUUACCUUCAAAUGAUGUUGAUGAGCUGGACAAGCCCCCCCUCCCGAAAAAAAAAAAGAAAGAAAUUAAAAGAUGUUUGGUGUAUCCUAAUUCAAAUUUAUGUUUGAAUGCGGAAUGUGACUGUAUGGCUGCUGAUAACACAAUUUUUGGCAUGCAUUUGUUUGUCUAAAUAAACAGCUGUUACAAAGUGUAUAA